AGAUUGAACGCUGGCGGCAUGCCUAACACAUGCAAGUCGAACGGGAGUAGCAAUACUCUAGUGGCGGACGGGUGAGGAAUACGUAGGAAUUUGCCCUUAAGUGGGGGAUAACCCGGGGAAACCCGGAUUAAUACCGCAUGACCUCGAAAGAGCAAAGUGGGGGAUCGCAAGACCUCACGCUUUUGGAGAAGCCUACGUCGGAUUAGCUAGUUGGUGAGGUAAUGGCUCACCAAGGCGACGAUCCGUAACUGGUCUGAGAGGAUGAUCAGUCACACCGGAACUGAGACACGGUCCGGACUCCGUACGGGAGGCAGCAGUGGGGAAUAUUGGACAAGUGGGACGAAAGCCUGAUUCCAGACCAUCGCCG
RNAcentral lists this ribosomal RNA (367 nucleotides) under uncultured soil bacterium. Its description in RNAcentral is "bacterial SSU rRNA". It matches the Rfam family "Bacterial small subunit ribosomal RNA", at positions 26 to 399 of the family's 1533-position model. The record is from RNAcentral.